This is a long non-coding RNA of Prunus avium (sweet cherry), 2342 nucleotides long. RefSeq lists it as uncharacterized. Lineage: Eukaryota; Viridiplantae; Streptophyta; Magnoliopsida; Rosales; Rosaceae. The record is from RefSeq and is a predicted model, not a curated record.
AAAGUUCGUCAAGAAAUUAGUUCCUUAAUAUUUACUAAUCUCCACUCUUUGCCUUACCUAUCUGUUGGAAAACAACAUUUACAAACUGAGUUGCUAUGAGAGAACCAAGCCCUCCACUUGACAUAGAUUGAUUGGUGUUGAAUUGGGUUAAUCAGAUGCAUUGCUUUAUAUCCUAUACAACGAUAAAAUCCACGAGACCAUAGGAAACGGUUGAAAAACAGAAGACUUAUCCUUGCAAAUAAUUGACCCAACGAAAGGCUUGUUUGUCAGAGGGAGAAAUGCAGAGCUGCCUGCAUUUCCUUCCACACUUCUUCCCUCCCUAUUUCCCCUUGCUCAUUAGUCUACUUCAUACUCUAGUUUGGUUACAACUAUGUUUAAGGAAAAUUAAAGCAAUUGUUUUGACAAUAUAAAAGUAUUUUAUUUUGUUGAACCUAUUUUAACUAAUUUGCUACUUUCUUUCAAUAGUGCUUUUGUUACAAUGAAAAGAUUGAACUCUUGACCUAGCCUAACACACACACACAUAUUUCCCCAUCCAACCUCACCACUUGGCCUAACCCAAUAGCUCACUUCAAUUACCUAGCUUAAUCCUACCCUAAUUUUCUUAGGGCAUGUUUUGAAGUGAUUCUAGAAGGGCCGGAAUCACUUGUGGGGAGAAAACGUUUUUUUCUAUAUAAUCGCCUGUGAUUUUAAGCGAUUCUUAAGAGAAACACCUCCAAAAUCAUUCCCAAACAAGCUCUUAUUUUCUUUGUGUUUUUUAAUCACCUAGCUUAAUUUUUGAAUUUCCACGACCAAAAUAUAUAUAUAUUGUAUGUCGGCCCGUGACCUAUGGUCCAAAACACGGUGGUCAGGACCUAACGCCAUAUAAAAUUCUGGGCCUUAUAUAUGGGACAUGGGCCAGAAAAGAAAAGGGUGGCGUGCGUGCGCGGGAACAAAAAGCCUAAUGAAAUUAGGGUUUCCAAGUGGAACAUGAGAGCCUAUAAAUUCAAUCGCCUCCUUCCAACACUCUUCACUUUGUGUUUUCGCAUAGAUAGUGUUAGUAGUUAGGGAUUUGAAUUUCGGCGUCGAUUAAACUGAUUACCAUCGCUCUCUGAAAAAGAAUGGGCGCUGCGUAUGAGCCGACGCCAGAGCUAUUCGGUUUCUGCGAAUCAUUGAGGGCCUUCCUAUGAUUGGUUCUCUCGCAGAUUCGGACAAAAUUUACGUCUUUAUUUUUCGAUUUUGUACUAUUGCUUCGUUUUAAGUUUGUGUUUGUGUUGAAUUUUAGGGAUUUGGGAUUGAAGUGAUGCUACUUUCCCCAUAUGAUCGAAGCUGAUUCAAACUUGCGCUAUUUUUAAUUUCCAAGCCAGAACUCUGAUCUUUCCCAAAUCCCAACAACUCAUUGUUAUCUAUUCUUCUUUUUGUUUCUUUGUCUUUUGAAAUUUCAUAUCUUUCUUCAGUUUGGGUUUUGAUAUUUGGUGUUGUUGUGUUUUGAAUGAUUUUUAUUUUUGAAAUUGGAAAAAAACCAUAGAAAGAAAAGAUGGAAGUGAUGAUUAUUUCCCCAAAUGAUCGAAACUGAACAAACUGAGCGACUUAUAUCUCUGUAUUACACAGAGACACCAAGCCAGGUGUUUCUGAUCCAUCUUCAUUCUUUAUAUCAGAUCUCACUGACUUGCUUUUGAAUUUUGAAUUUUGUUGUUUACUUAUUGCUCCUUGAGAAGCACCGAAAUCUACAUUCUCUGUUCUUCCUUUUGUUUCUUUGUCUUUUGAAAUUUCAAAUCUUUUUUCAGUUUGAUUUUUCAAAUUUUGAGUCUUGAAUGUUUUUUUAUUUUUGCAAUUGGAAAAAACCAUAGAUGGAAGUGAUGAUUAUUUCCCCAAAUGAUCGAAACUGAACAAACUGAGCGACUUAUAUCUCUGUAUUAAACAGAGACACCAAGCCAGGUGUUUCUGAUCCAUCUUUUAAUGGCUUGCUAUUUUUUAUCUUUUCUUGGCCACCACCACCAGGCCUCCACCCGCUAAGCCAGUUCCAAGUGCUUUGCUCCAUGUGCGUAGGAGCUUUGAACAAAAAAUACAAAAAAGAGCCAAGUUAAGUACACAACAAGAAAAAUCAAGUAUAAAUCUGUACCUAUAUUGAAAGAAAAUCAAGAGUUAACCUGACCGUUGAAAAAAUGAACUACGAGUCUUGUGAGAAGUGACGUUAUCUUGGACACACUCCUUGGAGGCAAUUUUAAAGAGAAUCAGUCGAUGCAUAAACCCAUAUAAGUUGGCCAAACUGACACAAAAAUGGAACUGCUAACGCCCGUGGUUGCAGUGGGUUUCUCAAACUGUAAUACAAAAUCAUGCAUAAAGAAAUUUAUAAAAUGGUAGAG